UGGGGAAUAUUGCACAAUGGAGGGAACCCUGAUGCAGCGACGCCGCGUGAACGAAGAAGGCUUUCGAGUCGUAAAGUUCUUUUAUAUGGGAAGAUAAUGACGGUACCAUAAGAAAAAGCCCCGGCUAACUACGUGCCAGCAGCCGCGGUAAUACGUAGGGGGCUAGCGUUGUCCGGAAUCACUGGGCGUAAAGGGUUCGUAGGCGGAAAUGCAAGUCAGGUGUAAAAGGCAGUAGCUUAACUACUGUAAGCAUUUGAAACUGCAUAUCUUGAGAAGAGUAGAGGUAAGUGGAAUUUUUGGUGUAGCGGUGAAAUGCGUAGAUAUUAAGAAGAAUACCGGUGGCGAAGGCGACUUACUGGACUCAUUCUGACGCUGAGGAACGAAAGCGUGGGUAGCAAACAGG
This 403-nucleotide ribosomal RNA is filed under the name bacterium. RNAcentral describes it as "partial 16S ribosomal RNA". It matches the Rfam family "Bacterial small subunit ribosomal RNA", at positions 355 to 776 of the family's 1533-position model. The record is from RNAcentral.